GGGGGCGUAGCUCGGAUGGUAGAGUGCUCGCUUAGCAUGCGAGAGGUACUGGGAUCGAUACCCAGCGCCUACA
Molecule: transfer RNA, 73 nt
Filed under: Stegodyphus dumicola
Lineage: Eukaryota; Metazoa; Arthropoda; Arachnida; Araneae; Eresidae
Description: tRNA-Ala
Rfam family: tRNA
About the family: Transfer RNA (tRNA) molecules are approximately 80 nucleotides in length. Their secondary structure includes four short double-helical elements and three loops (D, anti-codon, and T loops).
Source: RNAcentral